Molecule: ribosomal RNA, 344 nt
Filed under: uncultured fungus
Lineage: Eukaryota; Fungi
Description: SSU rRNA
Rfam family: Eukaryotic small subunit ribosomal RNA
Source: RNAcentral
CAAAUUUCUGCCCUAUCAACUUUCGAUGGUAGAGUAGUGGUCUACCAUGGUUUCAACGGGUAACGGGGAAUUAGGGUUCUAUUCCGGAGAGGGAGCCUGAGAAACGGCUACCACAUCCAAGGAAGGCAGCAGGCGCGCAAAUUACCCAAUCCCGACACGGGGAGGUAGUGACAAUAAAUACUGAUACAGGGCUCUUUUGGGUCUUGUAAUUGGAAUGAGUACAAUUUAAAUCCCUUAACGAGGAACAAUUGGAGGGCAAGUCUGGUGCCAGCAGCCGCGGUAAUUCCAGCUCCAAUAGCGUAUAUUAAAGUUGUUGCAGGUUAAAAAGCUCGGUAGUUGAACCU